GUGCCAGCAGCCGCGGUAAUACGUAGGGCGCAAGCGUUAUCCGGAUUUAUUGGGCGUAAAGAGCUCGUAGGCGGUUUGUCGCGUCUGCCGUGAAAGUCCGAGGCUCAACCUCGGAUCUGCGGUGGGUACGGGCAGACUAGAGUGAUGUAGGGGAGACUGGAAUUCCUGGUGUAGCGGUGAAAUGCGCAGAUAUCAGGAGGAACACCGGUGGCGAAGGCAGGUCUCUGGGCAUUUACUGACGCUGAGGAGCGAAAGCAUGGGGAGCGAACAGGAUUAGAAACCCCAGUAGUCC
RNAcentral lists this ribosomal RNA (292 nucleotides) under uncultured prokaryote. Its description in RNAcentral is "partial 16S ribosomal RNA". It matches the Rfam family "Bacterial small subunit ribosomal RNA", at positions 505 to 796 of the family's 1533-position model. The record is from RNAcentral.